Eupeodes corollae is the source of this 561-nucleotide long non-coding RNA. RefSeq lists it as uncharacterized. The record is from RefSeq and is a predicted model, not a curated record. The transcript is spliced from 3 exons. NCBI's taxonomy places the organism in Eukaryota, Metazoa, Arthropoda, Insecta, Diptera, Syrphidae.
AAGUUUACAGAAACGAUCGUCAUGUUGGUAAUGAAAAGGAUUUACGUGGAGGUGUUCUGCUAGCGAUACAAAAUACAUAUUUCUCUUCUUCUGUAUCUUUCCAUUUAAAUUAUCAAUUGAACUGCUCUGGCACCAAUAUUUUACUUCUAGGUGAUUUUAAUUUACCACACAUUGACUGGCUUCCAUCCGAAGACGAAUCCUGCCUUGAAGCUUUUCCUUCUUCUUCACAAAUGGAACUAUCUCUUCUCGAUAAAGUCCUUCUUACUGACUUACAGCAAACAUGCUGUAUUAAAAACUCAAAAAAUCGAAUUCUCGAUCUAGUCUUUUCUUCUGACGCUAUUAGUACUCUAGUUCUAGAAUCUGGAUCAGGAUUUACUAAUAUUGACAAAUAUCAACCCACUUUGGACAUUAUUUUUGACUUAAAAGAUCCAAUUUCUAACAGUUGUCUGAAGAUUUAACCAUUUCUGGAAUUGCUGAUACACUUGCAUAUUCUAACAUUGACGAAGCGGUUUCAAGUUUUUAUAAGAUCCUUAAUUAUUGUUUUGAAAAAAAAGUACCAAU